Molecule: ribosomal RNA, 253 nt
Filed under: uncultured bacterium
Lineage: Bacteria
Description: partial 16S ribosomal RNA
Rfam family: Bacterial small subunit ribosomal RNA
Source: RNAcentral
UACGUAGGGGGCAAGCGUUGUCCGGAUUUAUUGGGCGUAAAGAGCGUGUAGGCGGCCUGACAGGUCUGCUGUGAAAACUCGAGGCUCAACCUCGAGAUGUCGGCGGAAACCGUCUGGCUAGAGUCCGGAAGAGGAGAGUGGAAUUCCCGGUGUAGCGGUGAAAUGCGCAGAUAUCGGGAAGAACACCCGUGGCGAAGGCGGCUCUCUGGGACGGUACUGACGCUGAGACGCGAAAGCGUGGGGAGCAAACAGG